CCUACGGGCGGCAGCAGUGAGGAAUAUUGGUCAAUGGGCGCGAGCCUGAACCAGCCAAGUCGCGUGAGGGAUGACGGCCCUACGGGUUGUAAACCUCUUUUGCCGGGGAGCAACGGGCGCCACGUGUGGCCAGACGAGAGUACCGUACGAAUAAGCAUCGGCUAACUCCGUGCCAGCAGCCGCGGUAAUACGGGGGAUGCAAGCGUUAUCCGGAUUUAUUGGGUUUAAAGGGUGCGUAGGCUGUGAGGUAAGUCAGCGGUGAAAUGCCCCCGCUCAACGGGGUGAAGUGCCAUUGAUACUGCCUUGCUGGAAUGCGGAUGCCGUGGGAGGAAUAUGUGGUGUAGCGGUGAAAUGCUUAGAUAUCACGAAGAACUCCGAUUGCGAAGGCAGCUUACUAAACUGCCACUGACAUUGAUGCUCGAAAGUGUGGGUAUCAAACAGGAUUAGAUACCCGAGUAGUC
RNAcentral lists this ribosomal RNA (461 nucleotides) under uncultured bacterium. Its description in RNAcentral is "partial 16S ribosomal RNA". It matches the Rfam family "Bacterial small subunit ribosomal RNA", at positions 338 to 795 of the family's 1533-position model. The record is from RNAcentral.